CUGUCCCAUAUAGGCUCAGUCGUGGCCAGGUCAGGUUGAAACCCCUCCCUGGGCCCAUGCACCUUCUAUGAGGGUGGUUUCAGGCAGAAGGGACAAGGUUCAGUGACUAGAGCACCACUGCAUGAAUGGGGACCCUUUGGCCCGUGACGAGUGGCCCAGGGGAGCAAGCUGGGGGAAUGCUUAAUAAAUGACAGUGGACAACCUGAAGUGAGGCGAAUCGUGGAAGAGACAACAAGCAACAAAGAAAGGAAAAGCCAACGUGGUGACCUAUGGGCCUUCAAUUGGAUUAUUUUUGCUCUGGAGUCCAAAUAUCCUUCUAGGUGACCCAGGAAACUCCAGGAAGCGGAAGACAACCUCAGCCCUGGAGGCUUCCCGGACUUCCCAAGCAGCCCGACCCUGCGCCAACCCCUCUUUCUCCAGCAGGACGUUAUGAGGUAUUAUGACAUGAAAUACCCGAAUGUGUGUGGCUCUCCCCAGCCUGCCAAGACACCCCGAGUGGCCCGUCUGCCCAAAAUCACCCAUUCCUGGCCUUCACAUUGCUGCCACCAGGGGCUGGAACAUUUGUGGCCAGGAUGUUUCAACGGGGCCUGCUGAGGACUGGAGACAGGGUGUGAACAAGCCACCUAGAUUUGCUGGGAAAUGCCAGAGAAUGAAUGGAGCUUCCCCCAGCACCAUCUCCGAUGAACCAACACUACCAUGCCACAAGCCCAACUGCCCUCCUACAAAAGCUCGUGAACAGAACCGGUCCCCUCAUGAUGAAGUUUGUUCCCAGACAAAUGAGCCCGUCGCGGUAGCGCAGCGUGGGCGUGGCGCAUACCCACUCCUCCCGGGGGGGUGGGAUCAUCCCGAGAUGGCCCGCUGCCCUGAUGAUCUGAGUUCCACCAACAUCCAAAGCUGAGAGAGUCUAGAAAGAAACCAAACACAAACCCAAAGCAUGGGAGAUCCACGCGGACGCGGCCUCCCCCACAGCACGAUGGGAAAACGGAGAAGUCGGCGAGGACGUUCAGGGCGACUGUGGGGGCUUUGUCCUGGACGCUGAAACACUCCACGAAGAAGUUGAUGACGGAGCGGUCCAGGUGCUGCUGCAGAGGGGCGCUGGUCAGGGUGGCUGGAGACCAGGUCCGCGGCCCUUUCACCAACCCACCAAAUCUGGCCUUUCUCCCCCAGUCCUAUUGCUGCAGUUUGCCUGUGGCCGUCCUCGAUUAAAAGCUGGAAGAAAUCAGGGUGGGGAACGGUGAAUGGGGAUGAAAGGAAGAGUUCACGUGGCUUCAACGGACCCCUGUACAUUUGGAUCCAGGACUUACGGGGAUGUAAUCUACAAACAUCUGAGGACUCAACCAUAACUCCAACCAUAAUUAUAUCCUUAAGGAAACAGCUUUUAAA
Molecule: long non-coding RNA, 1383 nt
Organism: Ornithorhynchus anatinus (platypus)
Lineage: Eukaryota; Metazoa; Chordata; Mammalia; Monotremata; Ornithorhynchidae
Exons: 10
Source: RefSeq, a predicted model, not a curated record